AGGAAAUUCCCAGGACUCCUAGCAUGUCAUGCCCAAGGUUAUUUUUUUCUAAUGGUUCUAAUGGCCCUUUUGCCGACGACGGGGUUCGUGGCUUGAACUACUGCGAAAUCCUGCAUGAUUUUGAACAUUUUAUGACUGGUUCAGUUCGUUCACACAAAUGCUACCCAAGUUGCCCUUCUGGGAUUCUACUCCAGUAGACCACCAAUGCCGGUUUGGUUGUCCUCAACUUCUUCGCAAAUGGGACGGUGCGGAGUGAAUGUCGUCUUUGCCCAAUUGCCUAGUGCCGCGUAUUUCUAUACACUUAAAAAAGAAAACCUUAUCGAUCCAGGAAAGAAACACUUGCGCUUCGGAGGGAGGUUCUUUUGAAGCAAUGGAAACGCUGUCAGAUGCAGAAUGCCGUCGAAGCGAUGCCACUCUGUAAGAGUCACACUUAUAGACGCAAACAUUAGAUCCAAUCACGCUCUUCGAACCUCCAACGAAGCAGGCGUUCAUGAAGAGAGAUGAUCCGGGCCACCAAAGCACACAAUAACAGGUGAGAACCUGGAGAAGUUUUGGGCCCCACAUUGGGCCAUCCCGUACUGAAUACAUCAGGUUCCAGACGGUAUCUGCCUGGAUGGAACACGAAGAGGACACAUUGACAUAAUCGGGAUAUCCGGUUUUGCGGGCCUCCAUGUUGAGCAACCUUUGUACUUCAUCUCUGAUAAAAAGCCCGCCUCCAUAUUCAAACGAAAACACCCCCAAUCGACGCAAAUUUGUUUUCUCGUACCGCCUGAUCUAAACGUCUGCCUCACCCAGCCAGAACCUUCAACAAACAGCCCUCUUAUUGGCGCAAGAUCAACUCAAAAAGUAUGAGCACCACGAGCGGCGCCGGAGGAGGUGGAAAUAACGAGUCCUAUAAGCUCCCAAGGCUUAAGAUGAUGAAGAGCUACUCGAGCAAGCCGCGAGAGAGUCGAAGGAGCGCAAAUAGGGGGGGAAGAGAGAGAGAGAAAAGCAACAGGCCAACCGAGAAAUGAGGAGAGACUCUAAGGAGCGCCGACCAGGAGGUGGUGGUGCCAUCACCUAAAAAUAGGCUUCAAGUUACUACUCAAGUAUUGGUUGCUACGGACCAUAAAUUCUAAGAGUCCUAGGUUACUCUGAUCGUCUCUCCGCUACCCACAUGAUGGCGGUCGGGUGUACGACUUAUCGAGAAUGUGGAGAGAUCUCAUAGUGUUGCUGAUCAUUUCAUGUCAAAUGAUUCACUAUAGCUUUACAGCAA
RNAcentral lists this small RNA (1255 nucleotides) under Histoplasma capsulatum. RNAcentral describes it as "hypothetical RNA". Lineage: Eukaryota; Fungi; Ascomycota; Eurotiomycetes; Onygenales; Ajellomycetaceae. The record is from RNAcentral. RNAcentral also lists the same sequence under 1 other name.